UACGUAGGGUGCGAGCGUUAAUCGGAAUUACUGGGCGUAAAGCGUGCGCAGGCGGUAAGUUAAGUCUGAUGUGAAAGCCCCGGGCUCAACCUGGGAAUGGCAUUGGAAACUGGCUUGCUGGAGUGUGGCAGAGGGGGGUGGAAUUCCGCGUGUAGCAGUGAAAUGCGUAGAGAUGCGGAGGAACACCGAUGGCGAAGGCAGCCCCCUGGGCCAACACUGACGCUCAUGCACGAAAGCGUGGGGAGCAAACAGG
Molecule: ribosomal RNA, 253 nt
Filed under: uncultured bacterium
Lineage: Bacteria
Description: partial 16S ribosomal RNA
Rfam family: Bacterial small subunit ribosomal RNA
Source: RNAcentral